UAAAUUGAGAGUUUGAUCCUGGCUCAGGACGAACGCUGGCGGCGUGCCUAACACAUGCAAGUCGAGCGAGAAACUUUUGUUUCUAGCGGCGGACGGGUGAGUAACACGUGGAUAACC
RNAcentral lists this non-coding RNA (117 nucleotides) under Clostridium sp. USBA 49. RNAcentral's name for it is "Bacterial small subunit ribosomal RNA". It matches the Rfam family "Bacterial small subunit ribosomal RNA", at positions 1 to 126 of the family's 1533-position model. Lineage: Bacteria; Bacillati; Bacillota; Clostridia; Eubacteriales; Clostridiaceae. The record is from Rfam by way of RNAcentral.